Long non-coding RNA from Musa acuminata subsp. malaccensis (wild Malaysian banana), 874 nucleotides. RefSeq lists it as uncharacterized. The record is from RefSeq and is a predicted model, not a curated record. NCBI's taxonomy places the organism in Eukaryota, Viridiplantae, Streptophyta, Magnoliopsida, Zingiberales, Musaceae.
CAGAAGAGGGAAGAAGCAGACCUCCAAGGAUGGGAGUGAACUCUCGGAAGAAGAGAAGAGAAAGGAGGCAAUGUGGAUGGACAGAACAGAGCAAAGUCGAUCAGUAACAUGAGAGAUGAUAAGAGACAUCAAGAAUCAUGUUGUAGAAUCUGCGGAAUAUUCCAAUGGCGAUGAGUUGGUUUCCUCCGAGGUGAUUUCUCCAAGACCUAUCGCAGCGUGGUUGCCCGAUCAGCACAGGGGGGAAUGGGACCCGAUGACAUGCUGAAGGCUUUCGAUACGUGGUGUCACACCAGGGGGCGGUGGGUUGGUCCACCACGUCGAUCGCCGGUGGGACGGAUCACCUAAUGACGAGUUCUCUAAGAAGCAUUAGAGAGAUGACAACAGAUUACGAGUUUUUCGUUUUUUGCAGGUACAGCGAGAACUGAGAAUAAAUCUUCACUUAUUGGUCGUUAAAAGUAGAUCAUUAUAAGUCGUCUUCUCCACACGGAAGUGGCUGUCAUGGAACGACAACCUGAAUGGCUCUUCUCAUGCUUGCAGAAACAAAAUACGAGAACAUAACAUGAUUGAUGAUUAGGGCAGGAAGACCGGAAGAGGUAAUUUAAGGGCAGUGGUGUGGGACAUGUAACGAAGACUUGUUGUUGAUAUGCAUGCGGAAGAGGAGACUUCCUGGCACCUUAUAUAAGCGGACAAACAAUAAGAAGGUUGUCUUAUGAUUGUUAACAUUCGCAUUUGGCCCAAAAAGUCUCACCGCCUCGCAUCAGAGGUUGGGAAUCUAUCACGUCUGUGUGAGUUUCUAAUGCAAGUUGUAGCAGAUAACUUCGAUUAGCAGAGAGUUGGCCAACGUGUAAUGUCAUCUCGAAAGCCUUAGCUCAUA